UAUUGUGGGAUUUUGGUUCUUUGUUUCCCUCUAUUUCACAUGUUCUCUUGCCCUUCUGCCUUUUGCUAUGGAAUUAUUUAAUCCGGACUCUCAUUUCUUUAUGGCACUAUACAACCCCACUCCCACAUUCCACCCACCCCUGUAUAACUGCCCAGAAUAGUCUACUAUGUCCUCUGGAACUCAUGGUUUAUCAUCAGCAAAAUCUAUAAUCUCAAUCUCAACUCUGAACCUCCCUUCCACAAGUUUACUGUAAUUGACAACUAGAUAUCCUUUGAAAAGUUUCCCCUACAUUCAAAAGGUUGGUUUUCUUUUUUGUUUUUUUGAGAUGGAGUCUCGCUCUGUUGCCCAGCCUGGAGGGAAGUGGCAUGAUCGCAGCUCACUGAAACCUCCAUCUCCUAGGUUCAAGCAAUUCUUCUGUCUCAGCCUCCUGAGUAGCUGGGACUACAGACUAUUAUCCAAUGCCUCUGUCAUCAUGUUGCACCAACACUGGAAAUUCAGGUGCCCUGGCAUAGAUCUAAAAUGUAUUUUUGAGUUUAAAUAUGCCCCUUAACUUCUCUUAGGUGAGCCU
Molecule: long non-coding RNA, 568 nt
Filed under: Pan troglodytes (chimpanzee)
Lineage: Eukaryota; Metazoa; Chordata; Mammalia; Primates; Hominidae
Description: long non-coding RNA NONPTRT001028
Source: RNAcentral